CCUCGGGAGGCAGCAGUGGGGAAUACUGCACAAUGGGGGAAACCCUGAUGCAGCGACGCCGCGUGAGUGAAGAAGUAAUUCGUUAUGUAAAGCUCUAUCAGCAGGGAAGAAAAUGACGGUACCUGAGUAAGAAGCCCCGGCCAACUACGUGCCAGCAGCCGCGGCACUCCGUAGGGGGCAAGCAUUAUCCGGAUUUACUGGGUGGAAAGGGAGCGUGGGCGGCAGUGCAAGUCUGGAGUGAAAGGCGGGGGCUCAACCCCCGGACUGCUCUGGAAACUGUAAGGCUGGAGUGCAGGAGAGGUAAGUGGAAUUCCUAGUGUAGCGGUGAAAUGCGUAGAUAUUAGGAGGAACACCAGUGGCGAAGGCGGCUUACUGGACUGUAACUGACGUUGAGGCUCGAAAGCGUGGGGAGCAAACAGGAUUAGAUACCCGGGUAGUC
RNAcentral lists this ribosomal RNA (439 nucleotides) under uncultured bacterium. RNAcentral's name for it is "partial 16S ribosomal RNA". It matches the Rfam family "Bacterial small subunit ribosomal RNA", at positions 339 to 795 of the family's 1533-position model. The record is from RNAcentral.